This 1625-nucleotide long non-coding RNA is filed under the name Mus musculus (house mouse). RNAcentral's name for it is "predicted gene 10642 (Gm10642)". The record is from RNAcentral. Lineage: Eukaryota; Metazoa; Chordata; Mammalia; Rodentia; Muridae.
ACAAGCUGUAGGAAGUAGAAAGCUGCAGAGUGUACCUUCCAGGCGAGAAGCAAAACAUUGAGGAUGGCCAGCAAAGGGCAGGGUCCAUUCUCAUUCUGGGUGAUGAUGGGCGUGUUCUCCUCUUUCCACUGGAUCCAUUUGAUGUGAUACACCGACUGUCCGGGAAAGCGUUCUUUGGAGGCCGCUAGCACCUGAGCCGGGUCCUCCUCCUCCUCUUUGCAUAGAGGUGCAGCCCUGGGCGGCCCCGCCGCGCCCUCCUCCACGUCCUCGGGGACCCUGGUCUCUGCUCCCUCCUCACUAUUGAACUCAGAGCUACUGGGGAAAGAAUGCAGGUUGGAGAAAGACUCCAGGGAGUCCAAGCUGGGCGAGUCCCCAGGGGGGCUCGGCUCGCUGCAGCUGCUGCUCGGGGCGCCGGUGCUGCUGGGCUCUUCCGCCGCCUGCUCCACCCUGCAGGUGCCCGUGUCGCCCACUGGCCCCGACCCUCGGCCCGCCGCGGCCUCGGCCAGCUCCGGGGAGGCGGUCACCUUGUGCUGCCCUCUUGAAGGCACCUCCGAGGCGGCAGGGCUCGACGACGCGCCGUCCUUCAAGUCCGAGCCCGCGCCGCAUCCGAGCUGCGAGGGGGACGUCGGGUCCCCGAGGCUGCUCCGCGCUGCCGCCGCCGCCGCCCCCUGCCCGCCGCUGUCCACCGCGCGUCCAGCGGGACCAUCCUCAGCCUCGCGCCCGCCGCGCCGUCGCCCUUCCGGCGGCGACACUCGCCCGGCCGCCACCCCUAGUUCCAGAGGCUGUGGGCUGUCAGGGCUGUUCUCCAUCCCCGGCCGCCCGCCCCUGGUCCUAUAGACACCGCGGCCGGCUCUCCUCAGCAAGCGCCUCCGACGCCAUGACAGCCGCUCUGUAGCAGCUCCAGCGCCCUAGCGCGGCCUCGGCCAGGCACGUCACCGUAGAGGGCGGCGGGAGCGCGCGCGCGUGCCCCCGCCCGCCCGCUCGGAGCGUGCCUCCGCGUGACUGCGCUCGUUGAAGCGCCCGGACCCACUCGGGGAGCGCUUCUCCCCCGAGGCCACGCCCCUCCCGCGCGUUCAGGCUAGGGAAGGCAGAGCGAGGCCAGGGGCGUGGCUGAGGGCGUGGUCAGGGGCGCGGCUCGGAGAGCCGCAGCGCCACUAGGAAAAUAAUCUUGUGUGUGCUGCCGGAAGUUGAACUCCGGGGCAUCCCCGCUGCGCGCGGUUACUUUAAAGGCAGUGGCUGAGGCUUGUAGGGAGUGUGGUCUACUUUGGGCUUGAGCCUGGUGGACCCCGAAAGUGGUAGUAGCAUUGGAAGACAGCCAUUCCCUGAAGGCCUCGGGAGAGCUGGCUUUUUCUUUUCUUUUUUUUUUUUUUUAGCUUUUAAUGUUGAGAAUUGGAAGCAUUUCUUAGGAAAUGCAAAUUUGAAAGGCGAGUUCUGUUGGAGGCUUUUGGAAGACUGCGCAGUACAGGGACAACUCUCCCUGGGUUUUGGCUGAGAAUCGCUGCGCUCCCAACCAGCUACUGGUUUGCCUUGCCGGAGGUUCAAUGAGGUUGUGGAUAUUGGCCUACGCCCCAGGCGAGAGGGUAAAUUUGGUCCAAUAAUAAUAAAUCAGUUUGCGUUUGAAGCAA